This is a long non-coding RNA of Esox lucius (northern pike), 682 nucleotides long. NCBI's taxonomy places the organism in Eukaryota, Metazoa, Chordata, Actinopteri, Esociformes, Esocidae. The record is from Ensembl.
CGAAAAGGAAGGUUUUGGAUGAGGAACAGAAGCGUUCAAUUUCCAGUUGUCUCUUAAUUUUAACCCUUCUGUUCCACACUCAAAACCUUCCUUUUCAACUUGUUUGAAAAGGAAAGAACAUUUAAUUUUUUCUGGAUCUGUAUAUAUCAUAAACUCACACAUUCUCCACAUUGCAACAGAAGAACAGCCCAAGAGCAGGCACAGAUCCCUUUAUAAGAAACAAUCCUUAGUUAUUCCUGUGGUUGUUGGAAUCACAGUGGUUAUUCUGGUUCUCAUCCUCUGUCUCUCUGGCUUCAUCUGGUUCAGAAAGAAGGCCCCCAAAUCCGUCUCUGACACAAAAGACAAAUCAGACAAUGAACAGGGAAAUUCCAACCCCACUUAUGGCAACAUCUCCAGCGCUGGCGUGACCUCAGAGAAAAGAGACCAGUCUGAUGACCUUCACUACACCGGCGUUGACAUCCACCGGGCCAAGAUGCAGGACGUCCCUCUGUACAGCAACGCCCAACCCCAGGAACAGGAUGAGGAUGUCCAUUACGCCGCCGUGAAGUUCAACCCUCCCAGCGCUGCCACUCAGUAAGCAUAUUAAACUUACGCUCACAGACUGCUUCUUAUUUGGAGGAGACCAUAACUAAAUGACCCUAUGGACCACUAGUUCCUGGUGGACAUUAAGACAAUUUCUCCC